GGAGGCUGAGGCAGGAUCACCUGAGCCCAGGAGUUCCAGGCUGUAGGGCCCUAUCAUCACACCUGUGAAUAGCCGCGGCACUCCAGCCUGGGCAACACAGUGAGAU
Long non-coding RNA from Sapajus apella (tufted capuchin), 106 nucleotides. RefSeq lists it as uncharacterized. The transcript is spliced from 3 exons. NCBI's taxonomy places the organism in Eukaryota, Metazoa, Chordata, Mammalia, Primates, Cebidae. The record is from RefSeq and is a predicted model, not a curated record.